Non-coding RNA from Danio rerio (zebrafish), 45 nucleotides. NCBI's taxonomy places the organism in Eukaryota, Metazoa, Chordata, Actinopteri, Cypriniformes, Danionidae. The record is from Rfam.
CCAAAGGCUCUUUUAAGAGCCACACACUUUUUUAAAGAAAGGGCA